Molecule: ribosomal RNA, 497 nt
Filed under: uncultured bacterium
Lineage: Bacteria
Description: partial 16S ribosomal RNA
Rfam family: Bacterial small subunit ribosomal RNA
Source: RNAcentral
GACGAACGCUGGCGGCGUGCCUAAUACAUGCAAGUAGAACGCUGAAGAGAGGAGCUUGCUCUUCUUGGAUGAGUUGCGAACGGGUGAGUAACGCGUAGGUAACCUGCCUUGUAGCGGGGGAUAACUAUUGGAAACGAUAGCUAAUACCGCAUAACCAUGGAUGACACAUUUCAUUUAUUUGAAAGGGGCAAUUGCUCCACUACAAGAUGGACCUGCGUUGUAUUAGCUAGUAGGUGAGGUAAUGGCUCACCUAGGCGACGAUACAUAGCCGACCUGAGAGGGUGAUCGGCCACACUGGGACGGAGACACGGCCCAGACGCCUACGGGAGGCAGCAGUAGGGAAUCUUCGGCAAUAGGGGCAACCCUGACCGAGCAACGCCGCGGGAGUGAAGAAGGUUUUCGGAUCGUAAAGCUCUGUUGUAAGUCAAGAACGGGUGUGAGAGUGGAAAGUUCACACUGUGACGGUAGCUUACCAGAAAGGGACGGCUAACUACGUG